GUUUAUGUUCUUCCUCCGGGACAUUUCUCGGUAGGUGAUGCCCUCCGUGGUCAUCGAAUUUCUUUUUGCAUGGACUUCUAGACGUCCUCGAUCGAUUUGUUAUUAUUAUUAUUAUUAUUAUUAUCAUUGUUAUUGUUAAUCAGUAUAUCAGAUGGGGAAAGAAACAAAGAGUAUGUGGGCAAGAAGUGAUUGAGGUGAAAAAAAUGCUGGGAUAAUGUGCAAUAAUUACAAUCACAACGUCGUCGAUCGUUGGACUUGCCUCUGCUCAUUGGAGCUAGAUUCCUUGGGUAAUAAUAGUAAAUAAUUACAGUGAGCUGUUCUUCCAGAAGAGGGAAGGAAUAAGGUCGAUUCACACGUGUGGCGCUCCCAACGGUCGACCCGCCAGAUGAUGGUGCCUCAGGAAGCCCCGCCCUCGAACCAGACCCACCUAGAGGGCCUGAAUAUCUGCCGUAAAAGAGCCAUCUUGGGCACGUUCCAGUGUUCAACGUGCCUGAAAGAAGAAGAAGAAGAAGAAGAAGAAGAAGAAGAAGAUGCAGAAGCCGAUGUUUUAGCAGAAGAAGAAGAAGAAGAAGAUGCAGAAGCAGAUGUUUUAGCAGAAGAAGAAGAA
RNAcentral lists this long non-coding RNA (607 nucleotides) under Spirodela polyrhiza (greater duckweed). RNAcentral's name for it is "long non-coding RNA (SPOL_LNC001751)". Lineage: Eukaryota; Viridiplantae; Streptophyta; Magnoliopsida; Alismatales; Araceae. The record is from RNAcentral.